This 474-nucleotide ribosomal RNA is filed under the name uncultured organism. Its description in RNAcentral is "partial 16S ribosomal RNA". It matches the Rfam family "Bacterial small subunit ribosomal RNA", at positions 335 to 800 of the family's 1533-position model. The record is from RNAcentral.
ACUCCUGCGGGAGGCAGCAGUGGGGAAUAUUGCACAAUGGGCGCAAGCCUGAUGCAGCCAUGCCGCGUGUAUGAAGAAGGCCUUCGGGUUGUAAAGUACUUUCAGCGGGGAGGAAGGCGAUAAGGUUAAUAACCUUGUCGAUUGACGUUACCCGCAGAAGAAGCACCGGCUAACUCCGUGCCAGCAGCCGCGGUAAUACGGAGGGUGCAAGCGUUAAUCGGAAUUACUGGGCGUAAAGCGCACGCAGGCGGUCUGUCAAGUCGGAUGUGAAAUCCCCGGGCUCAACCUGGGAACUGCAUUCGAAACUGGCAGGCUAGAGUCUUGUAGAGGGGGGUAGAAUUCCGGGUGUAGCGGUGAAAUGCGUAGAGAUCUGGAGGAAUACCGGUGGCGAAGGCGGCCCCCUGGACAAAGACUGACGCUCAGGUGCGAAAGCGUGGGGAGCAAACAGGAUUAGAAACCCUGGUAGUCCCAUGA